AAGUAAAUAUAUAUCCUGUUAUCUUUUUAAAAUUAGCACAUCUACAUUUCUAAAACCUGUUGUUGUCUAAAUGGCUGAGACUCCCACAUGCUUUUGUCAUCAGCUACAAACCUGCGUAGCAACAGGGCACACCUCUCCUGGCACUAUGGAUUUGUGAGCCAAUCACGAUUGAGUUUCAGCGUGACGUCGUCUUGUUGACACUUCGAUUAGCUGGCCACCCGCGGAACGUCACUGCAGCAGCGCGCGCCCGUGACCCCUUGACGUCCAACCCGCGUUUUCUGCCUGGAAACAUCUCGAGCUAGUCGGAGCUGCGAAAAUGCAAGAUUCCGGGGGCUGGAGUCGGAGUGAGAAAUGGGGUCUGAUCAGAGUACCAGUUUGGCUGCUGACCAGCAGCCCAGGGAUCCUGGCAAUCUGCCAUUGCAAGGUGAAGUAUCUUCAUCCAGUGUCCAAAACAAUACCGGUCCUGAGCCUCGGGACAGUCUGGAUCCAGACACUGACUUGCCUCAGUGCCGAAUGGGCACCAGAAAGGUAGACGACAUGAGCUUUAUGAUAUCCUGCACUAACUGGUAUUAAAAGCCAAAGAAGACUGUGAAAGAACUGACUAGACUGGACGCUUCGUCCACAAAUGAGUGCCAAAUUCAGGACGGGACAAUGGAAGACACGGCGGUGCUGGAGUUGCAUUGCUGUUUAAAUGGGUUUGAUGUGAUUUAUGCCAUUAAUAAGUUGUUCAAUGUGUUUAAAGACAUAAGGAAUAAAGUUAGUGCACUAGCUGUACACUUAUGUACUGAUUGCAUGAUAUCAAAAGCUUGUAUUAUGUAGUUAAUAUCAACCUGCACUAAUUAAGUACAGUAUGUAUGUAUAAAUAUGUCAUAAUAUAAUGCAUCAUACGCUUGGCAUUUCUGUAGUUUUUAUUUUAUUGACAUUUCUUUGAACAUGGUGAUAUUAGAUACACAGUGUAAAACUGUAGACGGAAAACCGAAAUAAAAUUGACUCCUUGUUUAUAGAAUUAAAAACAGGAUUUAAGAAAUAAAACUUAAUAAGUAAAUCAAUCCUUUUAAGAUCACCCUCAUUUUUUAAUAAUCAACAUUAUGCAUGACAAUGUGAAAUCAUAGGCUACCGUUAGAGUGAAAGCAAAAUACAAAAGGUCUGAAAAGUUUAGGUAAAUCUUUGUAUUUACAUGACCAUUAAAACCUGACGAGGCUGAGCAGACAGCGACAUUUGACCUGUAAAUCAGAAAAUAUCAAAAUUCCAUUGACAGAAUCUGAAUUUAUUUAAAUCGCAGAGUGAGACGUUCACUCUUAAAUUCUUGUCAAAGGGAAAAAAGAACCAGUUAUAUACACAAACACAGUUGAAAUUCCCCCAUGGUCAGCCAAGAAAAAUAAUAAUAAUAAAAAACCAACCAAAAACCUUUAAAGCUAUCUCAGAUAAAAGCUCCAUUAAAGUUAACCCUCUGUAAUGAAAAAGCGUAAAUACAGUUGGUUCCUUGACUACCUCUGAUAUGUUUGUCCUAUUGUUAGUCUCAUAAAAGGACUAUAAAAAACAAAAGGCAACAGCAGCUCGGGUUAAAAGUGACUUGUCCAAAGCCACAUACCCAUUAAAAAGAGGCAAAUUACCAGAGAAUUCCUAUUUGCGUAUCUCCCUGUACAGUUCUGUAUUUUUGUUUUCUGUGCAACUAAUGUGGUUAUAGGCAUGGCUUCACCUUGAUUUCAAAUUAAACUGUGUAGAAUACCCUUAUGUCUCCAUUAAUGAGAAAUAAAUAGCUUUUCAUAUGAUAAGCCGCUAUCAUAACAAACCGUUCACUUCACCCUACGACAAACAUUUCUAAAGAUAUCCACCUUUGAUAAAUACAUUUUAGUGCUGUUAAACAUUUCACCUCAGACACUGCUGAAUGUUCAGUGUGUUAAUAUAUACACAUAAUUGCUUGUGCGGUGCUCUGUUAGCUUAGGAAUUCUUCAUGAAAUGGCAUGGUCUGGAAUUUAAAUGUCCUGUUUUUACAAAAGAAUCUUUAAGUGAUAAUAGUGCAGGUUUAAAGAAAUAAUAAUGGUCACAUCAUGCAUUUUUUAGUAAUGCAUGAAAAGUGUAAAUGCCCUCCAAGAGGCAUUUGAGACUAAUAUUCUGGAGAUAGUUUGAAUCACAAGCGUAAAUGUCUAUAAAUGUUGGUUGUCCCAAAUGGAAUUACACCAGCAUACAGAUGUUUGGGAUUGCAUAUGCAAUCCACAUAAUGUUCAUUUGCCAAACCUGGCAAAUAUAUUGGACAGAAACAUGGAAGUCAACAAUGUUAUGUUUGCAUAUAGUUUGGGAGUAGGUUUAUAGUUGGAUUUAUAUGCGUUCUGCAAAAACACCUUUAUGUGGAUUGCAAUAUGACUGAUCAUAAUGCAUGACGUGACCUUGAAGAUUUUACAUUAUUCUGUAAAUAAAUUUUAAUUUAACAUUUUGAUCCCAAUCUAGAGUACAUCUGCAGCAUGAGUUUUCUUCCAUCACAAGCCAUUCUCAUAUUGAUAAAGAAUAUACUUUAACACUGCUAUAUAAGAUGUCAGACAUACAUCUAAAACACAUAAAACCUCUUAAUAAGUACGGAACACACUAUUGUGCCACAUUGUCAAAUUCAAUCCAUGGCUUAUUAGAGCAAGUGUUUUGCCAUCUUUUGUACCAACAACAGCUCAUCGGACAGAUUUAAAGUUGAGGAAGACAAUUGGUGAUGCACAGUGUGUUCCAUUAAAAAUACUCCCACCCAGUACUUCCUGUACCCGAGACAUUAGAUCACUUCACAGUCACAUUGCUUGUUGUUGCAACAAGUUGUUGUUGUUGCUCUAGAUUCGGAGCUGACUAAUAAAAAUGCUUAUCUGAGAAACAAUAACAUCGAAUCUUUCCCAAGUGGGCACAAACAUGUAAAAUCUGCUCUAGUUUCAUGCCACUUUUCUACCCACGACCAAGCUGCUCGCAUAACAGAUCCAAAAAAUGAUACAUGAGAUGGAGGGGAAUAAAAAUGACUGGUAAUGCCUUGUUUUCAAUUAGUAAAGGCAUUGAAUAAUAUAUCAAGGCAUGUAUUCAUGAAUCCACUGUUCAAAUAACAAUGAGGUGGAAAUCAAUGUAAAUGAGCAGUGUUCAGUGUGCCAUAGCGGACUUGAAGACAAGGCACAAUGUCUUAAAGGGGUACAGUCCCCCAAUACUACUGCAUUGAGCUAAUCUGACCAAAACACUAUGCUAAUUAUACAUUUUUCCACCUUGUUAUAAAACAUUCUAUAGUCAAUCUCAAAAAUCAUCAUCACACCAAGUAUUCUUCCAACCAAUGGUAUGAAGUACUAUGCAAAUAUUGAUAAUCAUUCAGUUACAUGGCACAUAUCAAAGUACCGUGACAAACACUUUUGAUAUUAUCACUGUUUCGUGGAACCACAGUACUUUUUUUGUGAUGGAAUUAGUUGCCACUAGUCUAUGGAAGCCUGUUUUUGCCUUAAGAGUAGAAAAAAAAAAAAAAGUUAUUGUGAGAUUUAAUUCAGAAGUCACAUUUUGAGAGAAAGUCAGUGAAAUAUAAACAUGCAAUUGCAAAAUAAAAAUUUGCAACUGUGAGAUGUAAAGCCACUUUGUGAAUUAUGAAGCCAAAAAUGGGAUAUACAAAGUUGGAAAUAGGUGAAAUAAAGUAACAAAUGUGAGAUACAUGCCGCAAUUAUUAUUAUUUUUUUUUUACUCUGAGACAAAACCAGCCUUCCAUACAAGUCAUCGAGGGCAGGCAUAAAAGGUGUGGGUGACUUGUCCAGUCUUGCAUGUGGAAAAAUGAUUGAGAGUUUGUGCAACUGUCUAAAAUCGUUCCUUGUAUGCCUGUCUUAAAUCAUUAAGUUCUCAAAGUUGUUUUUGCUACGCACAUUAAAGUUCAUAGUUGCACUGCACUGAAAGUUUCCUCUAUUUUGUCUUGCGAAUCAGUGGUAACAUGAUGGAUCCCCUUUUAAGAAGGUCCAAAAGCUUUAAGACCACGCAAAGAGGGUGAAAAUCUUUGGAAGACAAGGGUUUAGAGAAAAAAUUUUCAUGCCCACAAAACCUUCAACAGACUAUUAAGAAAACAUUUAUGUUGAUUGAAAUGUAUUAACAAAAUUACGAUCUCCAAAUGGUCGAUCUUUUGGGCAGAUGUACAUAUGGCAACUACAGAAGUGAAGUAAUGUCACAAACACCAUGCCAGUGAAGCCAGCUCGGUGUAAAAAUAUGGUAAAGCUUGAAUAGAUGCUCAAACCAUUGGAGAAACAUUAGAAACCUAAAAGAAGAUGCCAGGUAGUUUGUGUUGCAGAUCCAUGCUCCACUGAACUGUGAAUACAAUAUUUACAUGAUUCUCUGCGGAAUAAAAAAAAUGGCUUUUUUGUAGCUAAAAAUGCUCUUUCCACAGAGGAAAAUAAAAUGGAUUUAAAACAUGCAACCUAAAUGUGUUAAGGCAAAAACAUCAGUGAAACCCCUAUAUCAAAUGAUAAACUGUGUGAUAAGUGAAGCCUUUUAGGGAGUCUCGCCAAAUGUACCAUCUUAAUAUUGUGAUUAAGAUGCUACAAACCUUUUCUUAUACGCCUGAAGCUUUGUCAGGUUAAUCCAAAAAAGUUCCAUUUGAAAUUCUGAAAAUAUCAAUUACAUCUCAGCUCCUUCCAAUGUGCAAUGUAUCAGAUCCAUUCCCACAGCAGAUGAGCACAAAGAGAUGUGUUAAUAUGGUACAGUCAGACACACUUCACCCAUUAAAUAGCACAGUCGAACCAAUAAAAGCACCCGACAGACAUUUAUGAGCUUUAGACGAUCCACACCGAACACAUGAAAAUAGGACGGAUGAACCGCUGAGAGAUCAUCUCCUGUAGGCAACGGUAACAAAGCUAUUUCAUAUUCAGAUGUGUUCAUUGUUCAUGUUCCUGCCUGGCACCAGUGUUUCAAAUAUUACACUUGGUGAAAAGGUAAGGUCGUAACAGGAAACUGUGCAAGAUGGUUGGAAAUAUCACUAAUAAAAGCAAAAUAUAAUAUAGAGAUUGCAAGAAAUCAGGCCUUAUUCCAAAGAACCAAAUUGUGCCUAUUAUGACACAAAAUUACUCUCCUAUAAAGACCUAAUGCCAUCUAAAAGAGAUCCUCUUUUGUUGCGGACUGAUAAAACAGCAAAUGAAGCGAGU
This is a long non-coding RNA of Cyprinus carpio (common carp), 5126 nucleotides long. RefSeq lists it as uncharacterized. The record is from RefSeq and is a predicted model, not a curated record. The transcript is spliced from 3 exons. Lineage: Eukaryota; Metazoa; Chordata; Actinopteri; Cypriniformes; Cyprinidae.